This 69-nucleotide transfer RNA is filed under the name Cyrtorhinus lividipennis. RNAcentral's name for it is "tRNA-Gln". Lineage: Eukaryota; Metazoa; Arthropoda; Insecta; Hemiptera; Miridae. The record is from RNAcentral.
UAUAUUUUGGUGUAAGUUGCACUUGGAAUUUUGAUUUCCAUUGAUUUAGUUAAAUUCUAAAAAGUAUAA